AAGACGAACCGUGCGAACGUUGUUCGGAAUCACUGGGCUUAAAGGGCGCGUAGGCGGGCUAGCAAGUCCGGGGUGAAAUCUUUCGGCUCAACCGGAAAAGUGCCUUGGAUACUGCUGGCCUGGAGUGAGGUAGGGGCCGCGGGAACUUCCGGUGGAGCGGUGAAAUGCGUUGAUAUCGGAAGGAACGCCGGUGGCGAAAGCGCGCGGCUGGCCCUCAACUGACGCUGAGGCGCGAAAGCUAGGGGAGCAAACGGGA
Molecule: ribosomal RNA, 256 nt
Filed under: uncultured prokaryote
Description: partial 16S ribosomal RNA
Rfam family: Bacterial small subunit ribosomal RNA
Source: RNAcentral